Non-coding RNA from Oncorhynchus mykiss (rainbow trout), 1169 nucleotides. The record is from RefSeq and is a predicted model, not a curated record. Lineage: Eukaryota; Metazoa; Chordata; Actinopteri; Salmoniformes; Salmonidae.
UACUGCAAAGAAGAGAGGUGGUCUGAAUUAGUCCUGAAGUACCUCAAAUAAGAGAGGUGGUCUGCAUUAGUCCUGAAGUACCUCAAAUAAGAGAGGUGGUCUGAAUUAGUCCUGAAGUACCUCAAAUAAGAGAGGUGGUCUGCAUUAGUCCUGAAGUACCUCAAAUAAGAGAGGUGGUCUGCAUUAGUCCUGAAGUACCUCAAAUAAGAGAGGUGGUCUGCAUUAGUCCUGAAGUACCUCAAAUAAGAGAGGUGGUCUGCAUUAGUCCUGAAGUACCUCAAAUAAGAGAGGUGGUCUGCGUUAGUCCUGAAGUACCUCAAAUAAGAGAGGUGGUCUGAAUUAGUCCUGAAGUACCUCAAAUAAGAGAGGUGGUCUGCAUUAGUCCUGAAGUACCUCAAAUAAGAGAGGUGGUCUGCAUUAGUCCUGAAGUACCUCAAAUAAGAGAGGUGGUCUGCGUUAGUCCUGAAGUACCUCAAAUAAGAGAGGUGGUCUGCGUUAGUCCUGAAGUACCUCAAAUAAGAGAGGUGGUCUGCAUUAGUCCUGAAGUACCUCAAAUAAGAGAGGUGGUCUGCAUUAGUCCUGAAGUACCUCAAAUAAGAGAGGUGGUCUGCAUUAGUCCUGAAGUACCUCAAAUAAGAGAGGUGGUCUGCGUUAGUCCUGAAGUACCUCAAAUAAGAGAGGUGGUCUGCAUUAGUCCUGAAGUACCUCAAAUAAGAGAGGUGGUCUGCGUUAGUCCUGAAGUCAACACGUACCACACACAUGCACACACACACACACACACACACACACACACACACACACACACACACACACACACACACACACACAGCGACGCUGCUAAUGCCACCAAUUUAGCUAGUAAAGGAAGGAAGGUUUGUCAAUGAAAAGUAAUAAUGAGUCAUGUUUGUUUAUUUAAUGAUGUAUUUUACACGGUCUGUUUGUUACAUGAUGUCAAUGGGAACUACAGUGAGCGCAUCUAUGGGUACGUUUUGUCAAAAGUGUCGUUAGUCGGAGAAAAUGUUGACCAAGUAAAUAUUUUUUUUUGUUGCUGCAGCAACACAACCUGCGGAAAAAGCGGUAACCAUAGCAACAACCAUCAAAGAUGAGGGCCUAUAGCUGAGACUGGUCUUAAUGCAUACCAUCCUGAGAGAUGAGGAUUCAUUAAACCC